Molecule: ribosomal RNA, 254 nt
Filed under: uncultured bacterium
Lineage: Bacteria
Description: partial 16S ribosomal RNA
Rfam family: Bacterial small subunit ribosomal RNA
Source: RNAcentral
CACGUAGGGGGCAAGCGUUGUCCGGAUUUAUUGGGCGUAAAGAGCUCGUAGGCGGUUCAGUAAGUCGGGUGUGAAACCCCCGGGCUCAACCCGGGGACGCCACCCGAUACUGCUGUGACUGGAGUCCGGUAGGGGAGCGUGGAAUUCCUGGUGUAGCGGUGAAAUGCGCAGAUAUCAGGAGGAACACCAGCGGCGAAGGCGGCGCUCUGGGCCGGUACUGACGCUGAGACGCGAAAGCGUGGGGAGCAAACAGG